Rhipicephalus microplus (southern cattle tick) is the source of this 1386-nucleotide long non-coding RNA. RefSeq lists it as uncharacterized. The record is from RefSeq and is a predicted model, not a curated record. NCBI's taxonomy places the organism in Eukaryota, Metazoa, Arthropoda, Arachnida, Ixodida, Ixodidae.
AGAGGUGCGGGUAUGUAAAGGCACCGCUGGCUGUGUUAUGUGUGUGUCAGCGCUUCCUCUAUUUCGGUGUUGUGCGGCGGGUCAUUAUAUUGUUGUUUUCCAUGAGAAGCGAUGGAACUGAACUGUGACAAGCAGCAGCCUAUCUUUCCAGUCCUAAAUAAAGGUGGCGGAGAUCUCGAAUAUGUGCCGACGACCGAGCAAGCGCCCUCUCCCCUUCCACAAUUAUUUUUCAACCUGUUCUCCACUACAGAAUUCUGCAGCAGCAGUUCUUCGAAACCAAAGUUUUGAGAGCCCUUAUAUAUGCGCAAGAUUUUUUUUAACACUUUUACAGUGUGAUGCCUUGGAGAUGCAUUCUGAGUUGUCACAAAUUGUCUGAGCAUUUUUAUAACAUCUUUUUGCCUUGUCAUAACACCUGAAAUUUCUCACAAGGAUUGUCAUCGGGUCUGUAAAACAGUAAAUGCGUGUAUAGUCAAUACAGCAUUUCAUUAGAAACAUGGGUGUGCAUUUUUAUUAAAGGCACUUCUAUAUUGAAUUAGUGUCCGGGUCAAGCAAGAGCCCCCCUUCCAGAUCAUCUUUCUGCGUCGAGGGGGUGAUUUCUCGGGAUUUUACAGUAGUAUGAAGUUAAAAGUAGUGCUUGGGCCAAUGUGCAUCUUUCACUUUAAAGUACUAAGAACCUAGAAGCUUGUACCCCUAUGCAAAGAGAAGAAACACAGCAUACCAAAUACGUUUGCAACGUUUCAAGUUUUAGUUCACCAUGGUGAAACUCGCAUGUCCAUCAAACAAGUUGUGCAAAUGAGGGCAAUCUUCAGCCAUGUGUAGCCUUUGAGCUUGUGAGGACACACUUCUCACGUUGCCAGUCAUAGUCAGCAUGGCUAUACGCUUUCGUCCUUUAUGAAAGGGAAAACGUGAACACCUGGACUGCGCUCAGCGGCGACUGGCUACAGUACCAUCCACCUACGACUGAAGAAAGCGUGCCUGCUUCUGUUUUUAUCAGCGCCUAUUCAACGGCCAUAAAUCAGUAUUUUGUUUGCCAAUAGAUGCCUUCAAAAGAAAAUGUGCUUUGUUUAGCGGUUGUUUUGGUUGUUCCAAUUCAGUUAGUAAAUAAUGGUAAGAUAGUACCGCCACAAAAACUGGACAUGUCUAUUAUUUUGUUGCAGUGAGUCGCUAAUGACCCAGUUAUCUUGACUGCAAAUCUUUUUUAAUGGAGCGCACAACAGUUGAAUUGUUUAAAGAGAUUUUCAUAGUGCUCUGCUCGGGCGUAUGAACGUUGCCUUACAAGAUACCACAGUGCUGCAGACUUGUGAAACUGCAAAUUUUUUUUUUGCUUGUUGGAGAAAAGCUGUGCAUGGGCUCGUUAAAAUGUACAUGUAAUGGGUGUCUGUUGCA